CCUACGGGUGGCAGCAGUCGAGAAUCAUUCACAAUGGGGGAAACCCUGAUGGUGCGACGCCGCGUGGGGGAAUGAAGGUCUUCGGAUUGUAAACCCCUGUCAUGUGGGAGCAAAUUAAAAAGAUAGUACCACAAGAGGAAGAGACGGCUAACUCUGUGCCAGCAGCCGCGGUAAUACAGAGGUCUCAAGCGUGGUUCGGAAUCACUGGGCGUAAAGCGUGCGUAGGCUGUUUUGUAAGUCGGGUGUGAAAGGCGCGGGCUCAACCCGCGGACGGCACAUGAUACUGCGAGACUAGAGUAAGGGAGGGGGAACCGGAAUUCGCGGUGUAGCAGUGAAAUGCGUAGAUAUCGAGAGGAACACUCGUGGCGAAGGCGGGUUCCUGGACAUUAACUGACGCUGAGGCACGAAGGCCAGGGGAGCGAAAGGGAUUAGAUACCCUUGUAGUC
This 446-nucleotide ribosomal RNA is filed under the name uncultured bacterium. RNAcentral's name for it is "partial 16S ribosomal RNA". It matches the Rfam family "Bacterial small subunit ribosomal RNA", at positions 338 to 795 of the family's 1533-position model. The record is from RNAcentral.